UACGUAGGGGGCAAGCGUUGUCCGGAUUUAUUGGGCGUAAAGGGCGUGUAGGCGGCCAGAUAGGUCCGUUGUGAAAACUGGAGGCUUAACCUCCAGCUGUCGAUGGAAACCAUCUGGCUAGAGUCCGGAAGAGGCGAGUGGAAUUCCUGGUGUAGCGGUGGAAUGCGCAGAUAUCAGGAGGAACACCAAUAGCGAAGGCAGCUCGCUGGGACGUUACUGACACUGAGGCGCGAAAGCGUGGGGAGCGAACAGG
This 253-nucleotide ribosomal RNA is filed under the name uncultured bacterium. RNAcentral's name for it is "partial 16S ribosomal RNA". It matches the Rfam family "Bacterial small subunit ribosomal RNA", at positions 524 to 776 of the family's 1533-position model. The record is from RNAcentral.